Dalotia coriaria is the source of this 660-nucleotide long non-coding RNA. RefSeq lists it as uncharacterized. Lineage: Eukaryota; Metazoa; Arthropoda; Insecta; Coleoptera; Staphylinidae. The transcript has 2 exons. The record is from RefSeq and is a predicted model, not a curated record.
UGUAUAAUUUACACGUAGAAAAAAGAUUAAUUCCAAAAUCAACAUUGUCUCCCUCAACUCACAAAUAAUCAGUAGGCAUAUAUUAUAAUAUUUUUUUACAUACUGAUGUGCGUGAAAGCGUUAGAUCUAUGGGUGUGUAGGCAACAGAAAUCACCUGUUCACCUGUUUAUUGGAGUCUGAGAGAGGCACGCGGAUCGGAAUUUCACGUUCGACAUUCCGAGUAUAUUCAGACGCAAAAGCGACGCCAGAGCAACAAUGACACAGGUCGAGAGUACAGAGAAAAAUCAAUGCUCGCGAUUACCUACAUACAAUUGUGAUAGUGCAGUGAUGAACAACCGGAAGUUUAAACAGUCAAACUGACAAUGGAUGAAUGUUGUCGUUUGGGUCACUGAAAAGCGAAACAAAUGAUCAUAAAAAGUAGAAAGAUUUUAGUUGAUGGUGCACGGAACAAAUCAAAGGUGAAUCAGAAAACCGUUGAAAAUGUUACACUUGUUAACCGCUUGGGUGUAAGAUAAGAAACAGAAACAGGAAAUGUAAACCUAUAUUUCAUUUCAGUAGCUUAAUGUUAAUUAUUAAAAUUAUAACUUAUACACUGCUGCUUAUACAUUAUUAUAUUUUUAUUUAAAAAAGACGCAUGCAACAAUAAAUUUUUUAUAUUUU